GACGAACGCUGGCGGCGUGCUUAACACAUGCAAGUCGAACGGAAAGGCCCUGCUUUUGUGGGGUGCUCGAGUGGCGAACGGGUGAGUAACACGUGAGUAACCUGCCCUUGACUUUGGGAUAACUUCAGGAAACUGGGGCUAAUACCGGAUAGGAGCUCCUGCUGCAUGGUGGGGGUUGGAAAGUUUCGGCGGUUGGGGAUGGACUCGCGGCUUAUCAGCUUGUUGGUGGGGUAGUGGCUUACCAAGGCUUUGACGGGUAGCCGGCCUGAGAGGGUGACCGGCCACAUUGGGAAUGAGAUACGGCCCAGACUCCUACGGGAGGAAGCAGUGGGGAAUAGUGCACAAUGGGCGGAAGCCUGAUGCAGCAACGCCGCGUGCGGGAUGACGGCCUUCGGGGUGUAAACCGCUUUCGCUUGUGACGAAGCGUGAGUGACGGUAAUGGGUAAAGAAGCACCGGCUAACUACG
RNAcentral lists this ribosomal RNA (466 nucleotides) under uncultured bacterium. RNAcentral describes it as "partial 16S ribosomal RNA". It matches the Rfam family "Bacterial small subunit ribosomal RNA", at positions 28 to 505 of the family's 1533-position model. The record is from RNAcentral.